This 253-nucleotide ribosomal RNA is filed under the name uncultured bacterium. RNAcentral's name for it is "partial 16S ribosomal RNA". It matches the Rfam family "Bacterial small subunit ribosomal RNA", at positions 524 to 776 of the family's 1533-position model. The record is from RNAcentral.
UACGUAGGGACCUAGCGUUGUCCGGAAUUAUUGGGCGUAAAGAGCUCGUAGGCGGCUUGUCACGUCGGGUGUGAAAGUCCAGGGCUCAACCCUGGGAUGCCGGUCGAUACUGCCGGACUAGAGUUCGGAAGAGGCGAGUGGAAUUCCCGGUGUAGCGGUGAAAUGCGUAGAUAUCAGGAGGAACACCCGUGGUGCAGACGGCUUGCUGGACCGUGACUGACGCUGAGGCACGAAAGCGUGGGUAGCAAACAGG